Molecule: long non-coding RNA, 714 nt
Organism: Rhododendron vialii
Lineage: Eukaryota; Viridiplantae; Streptophyta; Magnoliopsida; Ericales; Ericaceae
Exons: 2
Source: RefSeq, a predicted model, not a curated record
GAGUUUGUCUGAUGCAUAGACCCGCCACUGCGUGCUCAAGGCCCAAUUUUAUGAGGGAGUAACGGCAAAGAGUCCACCACAUUACUUGGGCCCAAUAUACAUUGAAUGACCCAUAUCCACUUAAAAGGCUAAGCCUUAUAAGUGGUGAGUCAUCCAAUUGUAUAUUAAAGUCCAACUCUUUUUCUGUUUAUCCGAUAGUUAUCUCAAUUGAGAGCCAACGUGCCUAGUCACCGGCACCAUGCUCCCCGACGAGAACUCCAUUGAGAGCCAAUGUGCUCAUUCACCAACACCAUGCUCCCCGACGAGUCAACUCCAUCGACAAUGAGCCAUCCAAUACAGCACUCCAACAUCGAGCCACCUUGCUUCAUCGAGAGUCACCUUUUUGGACUUUAUACCGCUCCACGAGUGUCUUCUGUGCAAACCCAUUCAAUGGUGCGCUGAGAGUUUUCCCAUAGAUCGUCAACCUAGCUUUGAUACCAUUUGUUGGGAGUUUGUCUGAUGCAUAGACCCGCCACUGCGUGCUCAAGGCCCAAUUUUAUGAGGGAGUAACGGCAAAGAGUCCACCACAUUACUUGGGCCCAAUAUACAUUGAAUGACCCAUAUCCACUUAAAAGGCUAAGCCUUAUAAGUGGUGAGUCAUCCAAUUGUAUAUUAAAGUCCAACUCUUUUUCUGUUUAUCCGAUGUGGGACUCAACGUUCACACAUGUUCUAACA